This 276-nucleotide ribosomal RNA is filed under the name uncultured Bacteroidota bacterium. Its description in RNAcentral is "uncultured Bacteroidetes bacterium partial 16S ribosomal RNA". It matches the Rfam family "Bacterial small subunit ribosomal RNA", at positions 68 to 339 of the family's 1533-position model. Lineage: Bacteria; Pseudomonadati; Bacteroidota. The record is from RNAcentral.
AGCAUGGUCUUAGCUUGCUAAGGCUGAUGGCGACCGGCGCACGGGUGAGUAACGCGUAUGCAACCUGCCUGAUACCGGGGUAUAGCCCAUGGAAACGUGGAUUAACACCCCAUAGUACUUUUAUCCUGCAUGGGAUGUGAGUUAAAUGUUCAAGGUAUCGGAUGGGCAUGCGUCCUAUUAGUUAGUUGGCGGGGUAACAGCCCACCAAGACGAUGAUAGGUAGGGGUUCUGAGAGGAAGGUCCCCCACAUUGGAACUGAGACACGGUCCAAACUCC